GAGUGUGGUCACCAUCUGUUCCCAAAGUUGUUACAAUAUUAUCGACUGUAUUCCCUUUGCUGUACUGAUCAUCCUGGUGACUGAUAUAUUUAACUGGAAGCUCAUCCGUAUUUUAAAUAAACUUUAUUUUAGAAUAGUUUUAGAUUUACAGAAAAAUGCAAAGAGAGUACAGAGAGUUCCAUUAUACUCGAUACUCAUUUUUCCAUUACUAACAUCUUCUGUUCAUUAGGUACUUCUGUAGGACAGAAGUCUCACGGGGUUGAGUUCAAGGUGUCGGCAGGGCUGCACUCCUUUCUCCAGGCUUGAGGGGAAAAAUGGGUUUCUUUGCCUUCUCCAGGCUUCUAGAGGCUGCCCCGUUCCUUGGCUUUCCUCCGUCUUCACAGCUUACAGCGAGCAUCCCCCUCUGACCAUUCUUCACUAGUCACAUCUGCUUGGACUGCAGCUGGGGAAGCUUCUCCACUUCUAAGGAUUCAUGUACCCGCUUGGAUAAUUCAGGAUAACCUCGCCAUCCCAAGGUUUCUAACCUUAAUCACAUCUGCUAAGUCCCUUCUUCCACAUAGCCAAGAAAAAGGUACCUCACUGCCACAUCACUCAUCCCUCUGAGCACUCCUGGCACGUGCUUACCUCAUUCCUCCCAGUGUGGAGGUCAUCGCCCUGAGAGACAUCUGUCCAGGUAAGCCUGCCCUCUUCAGGUGUGUGCUCGGGACCUCCCAUGACCACUGAUGCGCCAUCUGUAAAUCAGGUGAGUGCAUCAGACCCUGUUCCUAUGUGCAGAGGGAGCUGCAAAAUGGAAUCGUGUUCCAGAACCUCCCAUUCAGAGCCCUCGCGUAGUUCAGCCUGCUUCCAGCUGCUAGAAUAUAUUCAUCUGAUGGAACGGCACUGUUUUGGGGAUUCCUUUUAUUUUUCAAGGCCAAGCCAGUAUGAAGGAAGGAGGCUCCGUGCCGCUCUCAAUCAUUUUGUAUCUCUGAGCUUCAAUUUUCCCAUCUGUGAGAUGGGGACGAUAGUAUGAGUUUGGUAGUAACAGCUGCCUUAGCCCAGAGCUAGGCACAGUGUCAGGACUUGAUAAAUGACCCCUAUUGGGGUUACAGUGGCCCCGACACUGACGGUUUUCUGCGUAGCGUCUGCCUCCGUAAGGGCUGGGUUCAGUCCCCCGUCUGGGAAAGGAAGGCGCUGGGACAUUGUUACUUAUUUGCCCAUCGGGGGUUGUGAUCAUCCUAGCCAUUCCCCCCAGGUUCCCUGCUCAAGCUGCACCCUGACUGGGGUGGAGUAUCCUCCUCUGUGUGCUUUAGGAGGAAAUCCUGAUGUGUCCAAACCAACUGCGGUGGCCCCACGCCCUUGUCUGGGAGGGGACGUGGGGCCCAGUUCUGCCCAAUGACACUUCAGGGGAUGUCUGCUGGGUGUUGGGGGGUGGUUGCUGGGUGUUGUCCUAUCUGCAGGAGACCCAGGGUACUGCUGCAGCCAUAUCCCCACCGGGAGGAAGCCCCCUGACCCAGCUGGCUGUGAUCAUCCCAGGGCAGGAGAGAGAAGAAUCUGCUCCUUGAUGGGGAUAUGGUGAGAUGUGGUCGCGGUCCACCGAGAUGGAGCAUCAUCAAGCCAGCCUUGCGUUUUCUGUGACUUUCCUGGACGUGGGCACCCACUGGCCACCCCUGGAUGGCAGAGAGCUUCUACUUCCUAAGUUCCUAAGUUCAAGGUGACUGGUGGAUCAUGUCAGAGCAACUCCCUUCUCUGCUUAACCUUGAGCCUUCCUGGGCUCCCCGUUUCCCUCUGCACGAAGCCCAUACUGUGAGCAAGCCACAGGACCCAGUGUGGUGGUCUGGCCCUUGGCCAGCCUUGCCCACCACACUGGCCUUUCCUGUAACUCCCAUGGCCAGUUUCUGCCAUGCUGUUCCUUCUGCCUGGAAGGCUCUACACCGCUUCUAACUCCUCUUUAUCCUUCAGGUCUCAUAAAUGCCCCUUUCUCUGGGAAGCCCUCCCUGAUCCUCUCUGAUGAGGUCAGGUUGCCUGGCCUUGGGGCACACUGCAUUUUUCCCAUAGUGCUCACUGCAGUGGGAAAGAAAUGAUUUUUUUUUUUAAUUAAUAACCUGCCCACACUAGACUGUGUGGAUUUCAUGAGAGCAGGGACCUCGCUGCCUUGUUCCUACGAUGUGUCCCCUGUCUCUGUUGUACUGAUUGGUACACAGCAGGUGCUUAAUAAAUACUGGAUGAAGGAGUGAGUGAAACUCUGGCCAGUGGGACACUAACUUAAGCACACUUGUAGUGGGGGACACGGGGACUGGAGGUGGAGGGCCACACCUUUGCUGGAGAUGUUUGCCCCCAACCUGGGCCAUGUGCCAGGACUGGUUCUUGAAAGCGAGCGCAAUCUCGGUUGAGCAAGCACCUGGGGUGUUCCCAAACUCCUCUACUGAAUUUCAAGAGCCUUAGUCCCUGGGAAAAUCUUCCCCACUUGUCCUGUCUCCUCAGGUGUGUCACCGCACCACCCUCACCAGGACAACAAAGUGCUCACGUGACUGGCCUGGGUCCUGGGGGAAGGGCAGCAGGAGCGAGGGACAGGGCCCCCUGCACCCCAAAGCCACUAUUGGAAUUAGAAAGUAGAAGGAUGUAGAGAGCAAGAUGGAGUCACUCAUGUCAAGCAGGGGCCCGUGCGGAGCAAUGACGCCAGCCGUUAAGGGUACCUCGGCUACGAGACAUCCACCAGCUGACCACACUCCAGAGCUGAUAACAAGCAGGAGCUGAGACUGUCAGACUCUUGAGCCAUGACCCCUCUAUGCCUGGCCACUUAAAAAAGGCAGCGGUCCCCGAAGGCUCUGCCUGUUGGAUCCCCCAACAGAACUGAGAUCCUUCGCCGCUUGAACAGAAUAAGAAGCAGUAAGUGCCAAGAGCUGACCCGGGACUAGGCCCCGGUCUCGUCUCAACGGUGCACCCACAGACUGAUUCCGCGUUUUUUCUUUUUUUCUUCAUUAACUUCCUCCCCCCUCUGUUAUCUUGUUUGUUGUGUGACUUGUGUUCUGCUCUGCAUGCCAUGUAAGAAGCCAAGUUAGUCACGUGGUGAAAUGUCAUUGAGUUUGGAAUCCUGAACCUGCUGUAUAAUUAUGUGAGCCUUGCUUUAUGACUGAAUAAAGCUGACAUUGUGGAAAGACA
This is a non-coding RNA of Leptonychotes weddellii (Weddell seal), 3138 nucleotides long. The record is from RefSeq and is a predicted model, not a curated record. Lineage: Eukaryota; Metazoa; Chordata; Mammalia; Carnivora; Phocidae.